This 460-nucleotide ribosomal RNA is filed under the name uncultured bacterium. Its description in RNAcentral is "partial 16S ribosomal RNA". It matches the Rfam family "Bacterial small subunit ribosomal RNA", at positions 338 to 795 of the family's 1533-position model. The record is from RNAcentral.
CCUACGGGAGGCAGCAGUGAGGAAUAUUGGUCAAUGGCCGUAAGGCUGAACCAGCCAAGUCGCGUGAAGGAAGAAGGAUUUAUGGUUUGUAACUUCUUUUUAUAGGGGAAUAUAGGUAUCCAUGCGUGGAUAUUUGCAUGCACCUUAUUAAUAAGCAUCGGCUAACUCCGUGCCAGCAGCCGCGGUAAUAUGGAGGAUGCGAGCGUUGUCCGGAUUUAUUGGGUGUUAAGGGUGCGUAGGUUGUUUUUUAAGUCAGCGGUGAAAGUUUGUGGCUCAACCAUAAAAUUGCCGUUGAAACUGGAAGACUUGAGUGUGUUUGAGGUAGGCGGAAUGCGUGGUGUAGCGGUGAAAUGCAUAGAUAUCACGCAGAACUCCGAUUGCGAAGGCAGCUUACUAAGCCAUAACUGACGCUGAAGCACGAAAGCGUGGGGAUCAAACAGGAUUAGAUACCCGGGUAGUC